RNAcentral lists this ribosomal RNA (390 nucleotides) under uncultured microorganism. RNAcentral's name for it is "bacterial SSU rRNA". It matches the Rfam family "Archaeal small subunit ribosomal RNA", at positions 330 to 720 of the family's 1478-position model. The record is from RNAcentral.
GCGCACCAGGCGCGAAAACUUUACACUGUGCGAAAGCACGAUGAGGGAAUCCCAAGUGCUUGCACGUAAGUGUAAGCUGUUUCUCUGUCUAAAACGCAGAGAGAGUAAGGGCUGGGUAAGACGGGUGCCAGCCGCCGCGGUAAUACCUGCAGCUCAAGUGGUGACCGUUAUUAUUGGGCCUAAAACGUCCGUAGCCGGUUUAAUAAAUGCCUGGGUAAAAUUGUGUAGCUUAACUAUACGAAUUCCGGGUAGACUGUUAAACUUGAGACCGGGAGAAGUUAGAGGUACUCCUGGGGUAGAGGUGAAAUUCUGUAAUCCUAGGGGGACCACCAGUGGCGAAGGCGUCUAACUAGAACGGGUCUGACGGUGAGGGACGAAGCCCUGGGGCGC